Molecule: small RNA, 21 nt
Filed under: Bombyx mori (domestic silkworm)
Lineage: Eukaryota; Metazoa; Arthropoda; Insecta; Lepidoptera; Bombycidae
Description: ovarian small RNA-30247
Source: RNAcentral
UCUUUACUCGUCCUCUUGUGA